This 226-nucleotide ribosomal RNA is filed under the name uncultured bacterium. RNAcentral's name for it is "partial 16S ribosomal RNA". It matches the Rfam family "Bacterial small subunit ribosomal RNA", at positions 92 to 334 of the family's 1533-position model. The record is from RNAcentral.
CUAGUGGCAAACGGGUGCGUAACACGUAGGUAACCUACCCAGAAGAUGGGGACAACAGAUGGAAACGUCUGCUAAGACCCAAUGUGCUCGAGAGAGUAAAAGCGCAAGCUGCUUCUGGAGGGGCCUGCGGCCUAUCAGGUAGUUGGUGAGGUAACGGCUCACCAAGCCAUCGACGGGUAGGGGCGUGAGAGCGUGGCCCCCACACGGGGACUGAGACACGGGCCAG